Molecule: ribosomal RNA, 274 nt
Filed under: uncultured bacterium
Lineage: Bacteria
Description: partial 16S ribosomal RNA
Rfam family: Bacterial small subunit ribosomal RNA
Source: RNAcentral
AUACGGAGGGUGCAAGCGUUAAUCGGAAUUACUGGGCGUAAAGCGCGCGUAGGCGGUUAUCUAAGUCAGAUGUGAAAUCCCUGGGCUCAACCUAGGAACCGCAUCUGAUACUGGGUAACUAGAGUUUUGGAGAGGUAAGUGGAAUUUCCGGUGUAGCGGUGAAAUGCAUAGAGAUCGGAAGGAACACCAGUGGCGAAGGCGACUUACUGGCCAAAAACUGACGCUGAGGUGCGAAAGCGUGGGUAGCAAACAGGAUUAGAUACCCUAGUAGUCC